UUUGACGAUGUUGUCGGCGAGGAAACCCGCUGAACUUAAGCAUAUCACUAAGCGGAGGAAAAGAAACCAAUUUGGAUGC
RNAcentral lists this ribosomal RNA (79 nucleotides) under Caulerpa taxifolia. RNAcentral describes it as "partial 28S ribosomal RNA". It matches the Rfam family "Eukaryotic large subunit ribosomal RNA", at positions 1 to 77 of the family's 3401-position model. Lineage: Eukaryota; Viridiplantae; Chlorophyta; Ulvophyceae; Bryopsidales; Caulerpaceae. The record is from RNAcentral.